RNAcentral lists this ribosomal RNA (483 nucleotides) under uncultured bacterium. RNAcentral describes it as "partial 16S ribosomal RNA". It matches the Rfam family "Bacterial small subunit ribosomal RNA", at positions 30 to 507 of the family's 1533-position model. The record is from RNAcentral.
UUGCACGCUGGCGGCAGGCCUAACACAUGCCAGUCGAGCGGAUGAAGGGAGCUUGCUCCUGGAUUCAGCGACGGACGGGUGAGUAAUGCCUAGGAAUCUGCCUGGUAGUGGGGGAUAACGUCCGGAAACGGGCGCUAAUACCGCAUACGUCCUGAGGGAGAAAGUGGGGGAUCUUCGGACCUCACGCUAUCAGAUGAGCCUAGGUCGGAUUAGCUAGUUGGUGGGGUAAAGGCCUACCAAGGCGACGAUCCGUAACUGGUCUGAGAGGAUGAUCAGUCACACUGGAACUGAGACACGGUCCAGACUCCUACGGGAGGCAGCAGUGGGGAAUAUUGGACAAUGGGCGAAAGCCUGAUCCAGCCAUGCCGCGUGUGUGAAGAAGGUCUUCGGAUUGUAAAGCACUUUAAGUUGGGAGGAAGGGCAGUAAGUUAAUACCUUGCUGUUUUGACGUUACCAACAGAAUAAGCACCGGCUAACUUCGUG